UAUGUACUCCCUCCGUCCGGAAAUACUUGUCGGAGAAGUGGAUAUAUGUAGACGUAUUUUAGUUUUAAAUACAUCCACUUUAUCCAUUUUACGCGACAAGUAAUUUUGGGCGGAGGGAGUAUGUA
This is a non-coding RNA of Triticum aestivum (bread wheat), 125 nucleotides long. The record is from Rfam. NCBI's taxonomy places the organism in Eukaryota, Viridiplantae, Streptophyta, Magnoliopsida, Poales, Poaceae.